GCGUUGGUGGUGCAUUAGCACAUGCUCCCGGAAAGAGUAGGAUCUGGGUUCAAAUCCCGGCUGACGCA
Parelaphostrongylus tenuis is the source of this 68-nucleotide non-coding RNA. The record is from the annotation of a GenBank genome assembly. Lineage: Eukaryota; Metazoa; Nematoda; Chromadorea; Rhabditida; Metastrongylidae.